ACGUAGGUGGCAAGCGUUGUCCGGAAUUAUUGGGCGUAAAGCGCGCGCAGGUGGGAUCUUAAGUCCAUUUUGAAAGUUCGGAGCUCAACUCCGUGAUGGGAUGGAAACUGGGAUUCUUGAGUAUCGGAGAGGAAAGCGGAAUUCCCCGUGUAGCGGUGAAAUGCUUAGAUAUGGGACGGAACACCAGUGGCGAAGGCAGCUUUCUGGACGAUGUCUGACACUGAUGCGCGAAAGCCAGGGGAGCGAACUG
Molecule: ribosomal RNA, 250 nt
Filed under: uncultured prokaryote
Description: partial 16S rRNA
Rfam family: Bacterial small subunit ribosomal RNA
Source: RNAcentral